GUGAGGCGGCUGGACUUCAAAUCCAGUUGGGGCCGCCAGCGGUCCCGGGCAGGUUCGACUCCUGUGAUCUUCC
RNAcentral lists this transfer RNA (73 nucleotides) under Salmonella enterica subsp. enterica serovar Bovismorbificans str. 3114. RNAcentral describes it as "selC". It matches the Rfam family "Selenocysteine transfer RNA", at positions 20 to 91 of the family's 91-position model. Lineage: Bacteria; Pseudomonadati; Pseudomonadota; Gammaproteobacteria; Enterobacterales; Enterobacteriaceae. The record is from RNAcentral.